Molecule: ribosomal RNA, 497 nt
Filed under: uncultured bacterium
Lineage: Bacteria
Description: partial 16S ribosomal RNA
Rfam family: Bacterial small subunit ribosomal RNA
Source: RNAcentral
GAUGAACGCUGGCGGCGUGCCUAAUACAUGCAAGUCGAGCGAACGGACGAGAAGCUUGCUUCUCUGAUGUUAGCGGCGGACGGGUGAGUAACACGUGGAUAACCUACCUAUAAGACUGGGAUAACUUCGGGAAACCGGAGCUAAUACCGGCUAAUAUUUUGAACCGCAUGGUUCAAAAGUGAAAGACGGUCUUGCUGUCACUUAUAGAUGGAUCCGCGCUGCAUUAGCUAGUUGGUAAGGUAACGGCUUACCAAGGCAACGAUGCAUAGCCGACCUGAGAGGGUGAUCGGCCACACUGGAACUGAGACACGGCCCAGACUCCUACGGGAGGCAGCAGUAGGGAAUCUUCCGCAAUGGGCGAAAGCCUGACGGAGCAACGCCGCGUGAGUGAUGAAGGUCUUCGGAUCGUAAAGCUCUGUUAUUAGGGAAGAACAUAUGUGUAAGUAACUGUGCACAUCUUGACGGUACCUAAUCAGAAAGCCACGGCUAACUACGUG